GAGGCCCAGGAAAUCAUGAAAGGGCGAGAGGGGAGGAUCAACCCCUGAAAUUCCCUCCCAUUGGCGGUUUUUUGAAUUGAAAACCUGGUCUUCCGCAUUGCUUUGCAGUUUCUCACAUUUUUGCAGGGCAGCAGGAUACAAGAAGGAGCGGCCCCCUUCUUCUUCUUCUUCCUUCCUCUUCUAAAAGGAUUCAUGAACUAAGAGAGGCAGAAGGGAAACCACUUUCAAUGACCUGAGCCUCAAAGGUCUUCUGCAUGGAGACGAGUAACNCUGACCUUUCUUCCAUUCCCUUUGCCUUUGAAUGCCAACAGAUGGAGUUGAGUAUAGAUGUGGGGAACAACUUUGAUCCAGUUCCACAGUUGGUUGACGCACCCACCUCCCAUGUCAAAGAAGAAUCAUCCGCUCUGCCCGUGACUCAGCUGGAGCCAUCUUUUGUGGUCAAACUGGAAGCACCGUACAUGCAGAUGAAAUCCGAAGAGAGGCCGCUUCCCCCAACUGACUCCGACCUGCCAUCUGGGCAGGUUAAGCUGGAGGAAGAGCCCCCUGUUAAAAUCAAACGCGAAGANGAGCCACCUGCACAGGUCAAAGAAGAAGAACAGCCCAUACAGAUUGUGGUCAUCAAAGAACAUCUUGGCCAGGUUCCAGAGAACCAUAGUCAAUUGAAGGCGCCAGGAUCCCUUCCAAAAGCCCUGGAACCUCAAGGAUCUUUAGCCCACUCAUCGCACACUUCCUCCUCCUCNACGAAUUCCAAAGGUUCUUCCUCGACACAGGUUAAGAAGGGAAGAGGAGUGUCCUGGUUGAAGGCAGAAGUUAUCGAUCUCCUUGCAGUAUGGGGCGAUGAGAAGGUGCAGCAACAGCUCCGUCAAAACCACCGCAACAGGGAUCUCUUUGAAGACAUUGCAAGGGAAAUGCGUGCUCGAGGUCACAACCGUGACGCCUUGGAGUGUAGAACAAAGACCAAGCACAUGAGAAUGGAAUAUAAACGUGCAGUGACCCAAAACUCCAGCCCCGGGAACAGUCGCGUGGAAAUUCCAUUUUUCAAGGAGCUCGACGCCAUUUUCCGAGGGAAUGCCUCGGUUGCCCCGAGCAGAGUAUCGAGGAACACUGAUGGUGGUAGAACUUCAGGAAGUACGAUGAGCUCCAUUGGUGCCCAUUCCUUGGAUUUCUUUUCAGACGAUGUCAGAAUCAUAGAUCAUAGAGCACCAGAGGAUACUGGUGCAGGAGCAAUGGCCAAAGGGCAGUGGACCCCUGAAGAGGUACCAGACCCACAGACACAGAAGAAUGAAGACGACGAGACCAGAACCGAUUUGCUCCUCGAAGAACUUCAGCCGCCCAACGCCAGCCAACCUGUCCACGUUGCACACGACCAGCAGGCUCCAAGAGUUUUUGCAGGUGCUUCCAAUCAAAACCGACACCAUACAUUGACUGCUGUGGAUGCCGACAACGAAGAACACGGGGAUGCCAACGGUCCCGAAUGGCUGUCCCCNGCAGAAAGGCUGACAAGGAUGAAGGCAAAGCGGAGAAGAAUAGGGAGCGUGGAGAUGCUGAACACAGUCCUGAGGCACGCGAGCAACGAGAACAGGAUUGCNCUGCAGACGUUCCGUGAGUCUGACCGGAAGAUGAUGGAUUUCUUCCAAAUGCAAACGGAGAAGAUGGCGCAGACAGAGGAGCGCUGCUUCCAGCAGAUGAUGACAAUCAUGGCGGAGCAGACACAGUUGCUUAGGACAAUAGCCGCCAGAGCAACGCCUGUCGACCAGGAGAACAGUAUUGGCCGAGGGGUUUCUAACACCUCCCACAGUUCAUUGUUCUCUCCCCAGGCUUCCCCUGUGUCAAUGCAGCAUUCAGUGAAUAUGAGAGUGGAAAUCCAUCCUCCUCCUGUUACUCCUCCACCAUCGACACAGCCAGCCUCCCCCGAGCUUCGCAGGCCCCUGGUGAGCUAUGAUUCGGAUACCUCUGUGGAACUCGAUGAGGGUUCCCCCCCAAACCCCACGACUUCACCUCCUAGAACCCCGUGACCAGGUAGGAGAGUUCCUUCUCGCACUGUUAAAAGAAGGCGCAUCUUCUCCCCUUAAAGAUAAUUUUAGUACCUGCUUUACCCAAUUGUUCGUAUUCUUUUUAUUGCUGCCAAGCGCACCAUUAUCGAUUAUAUCCUUUUUUUUGGUGGGGGGUUUUUUCCCCCCAUUAUUAUAUCCUUUUUAGGCACAGGCUGUGGUCCAUGUGUAUGAGACAAGGGUUGGAGGUUUUCCACAGCCAACGCCUUUCCUCCUGUGUAGGACUAGUGAAAGAGUUGCACACAGCUGAUACUUUUGCCCAAAGCCUGCGCUUUUUAAACAGUUUCUGUUUGCCUCCCGUUGUAAUAUGUCAAUAAAAGGUUUUGAAUGGCUU
RNAcentral lists this long non-coding RNA (2385 nucleotides) under Salvator merianae (Argentine black and white tegu). RNAcentral describes it as "lncRNA (ENSSMRG00000004158.1)". The record is from RNAcentral. Lineage: Eukaryota; Metazoa; Chordata; Lepidosauria; Squamata; Teiidae.